UACGUAGGGGGCGAGCGUUGUCCGGAUUUAUUGGGCGUAAAGAGCGUGUAGGCGGCUAGGUAGGUCUGCUGUGAAAACUCGAGGCUCAACCUCGAGACGUCGGCGGAAACCAUCUGGCUAGAGUCCGGAAGAGGAGAGUGGAAUUCCUGGUGUAGCGGUGAAAUGCGCAGAUAUCAGGAAGAACACCCGUGGCGAAGGCGGCAUCCUGGGCCGGUAUUGACGCUGAGGCGCGAAAGCUAGGGGAGCAAACGGG
Molecule: ribosomal RNA, 253 nt
Filed under: uncultured bacterium
Lineage: Bacteria
Description: partial 16S ribosomal RNA
Rfam family: Bacterial small subunit ribosomal RNA
Source: RNAcentral